GUCGGCAGGGUGGAAACGGAUAGAGUUGACGUAUUCGGGCUCGCAUUCAGCCGGUGUUUGUGGUCGUCGCGAUGGCGGGCGGAGCGUCUAGGCGCUCCUUUCGUCGUCGUGUACUGGCUGUGAGCGCUGGUGCAUUUGUGGGUCGUUGUGCGCUGGGACGUGUGCGUUGGUCGCUGGCAACUUUGGCACGAGGAUGCUCAUUUCGGUGAGUAAAACCGGGCCUUUGCUUGUCGGCGGUUCGAUGUGCACGCUCGCUUGGCACGCACGAGGUUCUCGGCGGCUGGCCGAUGUUGCGCUGUAUGGCGGUCGCAUGCGACACGUGUAUAGUGCGGUGUCGACGAUUGUCGAGUCCCCGUGCGCUGUCCCGGUGUAAAAGUCGAUCAUCUAUCCGACCCGUCUUGAAACACGGACCAAGGAGUUUAACGUCUACGCGAGUCAUUGGGUGUUUGAAACCUAAAGGCGUAAUGAAAGUGAAGGCGCCCUUGAUGGUGCUUAUAUGCGAUCUGAUGGGCCGCGGCCCAGCCGGAGCAGCAUAGCCCCGUUCUUGUCGCUUGCGAUGGGGCGGAGGAAGAGCGUAUGCGUUGAGACCCGAAAGAUGGUGAACUAUGCUUGAGCAGGACGAAGUCAGAGGAAACUCUGAUGGAAGUCCGAAUCGGUUCUGACGUGCAAAUCGAUCGUCUGACUUGAGUAUAGGGGCGAAAGACUAAUCGAACUAUCUAGUA
Molecule: ribosomal RNA, 722 nt
Filed under: Anguillonema amolensis
Lineage: Eukaryota; Metazoa; Nematoda; Chromadorea; Rhabditida; Neotylenchidae
Description: partial large subunit ribosomal RNA
Rfam family: Eukaryotic large subunit ribosomal RNA
Source: RNAcentral